This is a long non-coding RNA of Homo sapiens (human), 1812 nucleotides long. Lineage: Eukaryota; Metazoa; Chordata; Mammalia; Primates; Hominidae. The record is from Ensembl.
UUUCGGAGCUCCAGCCUGCCCCUCCUGACGCUCUCAGAGUCUGGCCUUCUGCUGGGCCCCGGGUCUCUCACUGGCAGAAUGGAGUUCUCGGAGCUGAUCCAUACGGGCUGAGCCCAAGCAGAGUUUCUACGGGGCCCGGAGGCGCCCCCGCUUCGCGGCACGACCAACGCGUGGCGGCUGAGCGAGGUGAACGAGGACUUCAGCUUGUGCCCCAGAUACCCCCGUGCGGUGAUCGUGCCAUACUUGGUGGACGAUGAUGCCCUGGCGCGCAGCGCCCGCUUCCGUCAGGGAGGUCGCUUCCCGGUGCUCAGCUACCACCCGGCUCCCAGCGGCAGAGGGAGCGCGCCCUCCCCACGCUCCGCCCCUGGGUGGCUGCGUCCUUUCUGGGCCUUUUCUUUUUGGCCCGGUCAAUUCGCGGCGUAGCCGCUGCCCCAACUCCUGCCCCAUUCUGGUCCCGCCCCUCUCCCGCCUUUUCGCUGGGAAGGGUAUCACCUUUCUCUGGCCCCGCCCCUGACGGUUCCGGGCCCCGCGAAGCUUAGUCCCUUCUUUGUCAAGCCAGGACCCGCCCACGGUCUAUUCAUAGGGUCCCAAACCACUUUGGCCACAACACCCCCAGACUGGUCCGAAGCCUCGUGAGUUCGCCCUGGUCGUUGCACUCCAGCCUGUCGCUGUGCAGACCUGGCUUAGAGGACCCCUAAGGCUGAGGGGUCACUUCCAGAACUGAGUCCGGUCCGCAGGUUCUGCUACGCUCCAGCCAGCCCCUAACUGGUCCCCAGAAGCGGCGCUGCUACAGGGACCAGGAGCUGCUGCGAACUGCGCUGGCGGGGGCUCGUCCUUGGGCGCGGGGCUUCAUCAUGGACACGCUCUCGGCCCAGGCCGCGAAACAAGCCCGCGUGACUGGCGGAGGCACAGAGACCAAGGCCGCUUAACCUGGCUGGUUGCACUGGUCCCUGGAGAGCACUGAGCACAGGGGCUGCCACAGUGGCCGGCUCAGACAUGGCAGAGAUCAGCAGAGAAUGGGCAAUCAGGCUCCCCUGAGAUGAGCAGCAGCGCAGAGGAGGUGCCCCUCUCUUACUACACCAACUUCAGAGGGCGUCCCCUGCAGGAGAGCUUCAUGCGCCUGGUGGAGGCCUGUGGGGACUCGGAGCAAAGCAUGGACAACUGGCUGAGUCGGCUGGACGGCUGCCGCUGACUGUAACAUGUAAAGCAGGCACUGAGCACCACCUGCCUGGCAGUCCAGGGCAUGGAGAGGCACAGACAGCACCCUGCUUGUGACUUCACUGGCCCAACUCAUCCUGGACCCCUUGAGCAAGACCAUGGCUGGAUUCCAGGAACUGGUGGAGUGGAAGUGGAUCCAGGAAAAUGCCGUGUGAAGGGAGGACUCAGAUGCACUCCCUGUGGUCUGGGCUCAACCAGCCAAAAGAGCAACAAAGACUCCAGAACCCACUCUACCUCCUCAAUCCCUUGGCCAUCUGUGGAGCCCCAGAGCCUGCGGCUGUGGCAAGGCCUGUUUCUGCGCUGGACCUGCUCACCUGAGCCUGCAGAAGCUGCAUGGGGGAAGAGUGUGGCAAAUAGUGACAGGAAGGGAGAAGACAGAAGCCUCUCAGCCAACUGCUUCAGCCGAGCCCCUAUUCUAAGCACUGGCUCCUUGGAUAGCAGCUGAGAUGUUCCUGAAACCUCUGCAGGCCCCUUAGGACCUUUACACCUUGGAUGAGGGUGCCUGCAACCCAGGUUAGCCAAAAGUACUGAGGGUCUUAAGUUUGAAGUGUCCAAAGUAUAGGGAGGUCUCAAUAAUAAAAGUCUCCAUGAUCA